GAUGAACGCUGGCGGCGUGCCUAAUACAUGCAAGUAGAACGCUGAAGGAGGAGCUUGCUCUUCUGGAUGAGUUGCGAACGGGUGAGUAACGCGUAGGUAACCUGCCUGGUAGCGGGGGAUAACUAUUGGAAACGAUAGCUAAUACCGCAUGACAACAGUUAUUGCAUGAUAACUGUUUAAAAGGGGCAACUGCUCCACUACCAGAUGGACCUGCGUUGUAUUAGCUAGUUGGUGAGGUAACGGCUCACCAAGGCGACGAUACAUAGCCGACCUGAGAGGGUGAUCGGCCACACUGGGACUGAGACACGGCCCAGACUCCUACGGGAGGCAGCAGUAGGGAAUCUUCGGCAAUGGACGGAAGUCUGACCGAGCAACGCCGCGUGAGUGAAGAAGGUUUUCGGAUCGUAAAUCUCUGUUGUAAGAGAAGAACGAGUGUGAGAGUGGAAAGUUCACACUGUGACGGUAUCUUACCAGAAAGGGACGGCUAACUACGUG
RNAcentral lists this ribosomal RNA (495 nucleotides) under uncultured bacterium. RNAcentral's name for it is "partial 16S ribosomal RNA". It matches the Rfam family "Bacterial small subunit ribosomal RNA", at positions 28 to 507 of the family's 1533-position model. The record is from RNAcentral.